GGUUAAGCGACUAAGCGUACACGGUGGAUGCCUUGGCAGUCAGAGGCGAUGAAGGACGUGCUAAUCUGCGAUAAGCGUCGGUAAGGUGAUAUGAACCGUUAUAACCGGCGAUUUCCGAAUGGGGAAACCCAGUGUGUUUCGACACACUAUCAUUAACUGAAUCCAUAGGUUAAUGAGGCGAACCGGGGGAACUGAAACAUCUAAGUACCCCGAGGAAAAGAAAUCAACCGAGAUUCCCCCAGUAGCGGCGAGCGAACGGGGAGCAGCCCAGAGCCUGAAUCAGUGUGUGUGUUAGUGGAAGCGUCUGGAAAGGCGCGCGAUACAGGGUGACAGCCCCGUACACAAAAAUGCACAUGCUGUGAGCUCGAUGAGUAGGGCGGGACACGUGGUAUCCUGUCUGAAUAUGGGGGGACCAUCCUCCAAGGCUAAAUACUCCUGACUGACCGAUAGUGAACCAGUACCGUGAGGGAAAGGCGAAAAGAACCCCGGCGAGGGGAGUGAAAAAGAACCUGAAACCGUGUACGUACAAGCAGUGGGAGCACGCUUAGGCGUGUGACUGCGUACCUUUUGUAUAAUGGGUCAGCGACUUAUAUUCUGUAGCAAGGUUAACCGAAUAGGGGAGCCGAAGGGAAACCGAGUCUUAACUGGGCGUUAAGUUGCAGGGUAUAGACCCGAAACCCGGUGAUCUAGCCAUGGGCAGGUUGAAGGUUGGGUAACACUAACUGGAGGACCGAACCGACUAAUGUUGAAAAAUUAGCGGAUGACUUGUGGCUGGGGGUGAAAGGCCAAUCAAACCGGGAGAUAGCUGGUUCUCCCCGAAAGCUAUUUAGGUAGCGCCUCGUGAAUUCAUCUCCGGGGGUAGAGCACUGUUUCGGCAAGGGGGUCAUCCCGACUUACCAACCCGAUGCAAACUGCGAAUACCGGAGAAUGUUAUCACGGGAGACACACGGCGGGUGCUAACGUCCGUCGUGAAGAGGGAAACAACCCAGACCGCCAGCUAAGGUCCCAAAGUCAUGGUUAAGUGGGAAACGAUGUGGGAAGGCCCAGACAGCCAGGAUGUUGGCUUAGAAGCAGCCAUCAUUUAAAGAAAGCGUAAUAGCUCACUGGUCGAGUCGGCCUGCGCGGAAGAUGUAACGGGGCUAAACCAUG
RNAcentral lists this ribosomal RNA (1149 nucleotides) under Escherichia coli. RNAcentral describes it as "partial 23S ribosomal RNA". It matches the Rfam family "Bacterial large subunit ribosomal RNA", at positions 1 to 1191 of the family's 2925-position model. The record is from RNAcentral. Lineage: Bacteria; Pseudomonadati; Pseudomonadota; Gammaproteobacteria; Enterobacterales; Enterobacteriaceae.